Molecule: ribosomal RNA, 433 nt
Filed under: uncultured bacterium
Lineage: Bacteria
Description: partial 16S ribosomal RNA
Rfam family: Bacterial small subunit ribosomal RNA
Source: RNAcentral
AACGAACGCUGGCGGCAUGCCUAACACAUGCAAGUCGAACGAGACCUUCGGGUCUAGUGGCGCACGGGUGCGUAACGCGUGGGAACCUGCCCUUAGGUUCGGAAUAACUCCCCGAAAGGGGUGCUAAUACCGGAUAAUGUCUUCGGACCAAAGAUUUAUCGCCUUUGGAUGGGCCCGCGUUGGAUUAGCUAGUUGGCAGGGUAAAAGCCUACCAAGGCGACGAUCCAUAGCUGGUCUGAGAGGAUGAUCAGCCACACUGGGACUGAGACACGGCCCAGACUCCUACGGGAGGCAGCAGUGGGGAAUAUUGGACAAUGGGCGAAAGCCUGAUCCAGCAAUGCCGCGUGAGUGAUGAAGGCCUUAGGGUUGUAAAGCUCUUUUACCCGGGAUGAUAAUGACAGUACCGGGAGAACAAGCUCCGGCUAACUCCGUG